UCUUCAAGCUCGAAUCUCCAACCUCGAAUCCUCUUCUCACGUUUCCGAUCAAAAUCAGGUUGAAGGCUAGAUAUUCAGCUCCAGUGACAUGCUUUCUACAAGGUUCUAAAAGCUUUAUGCUUGCUUCAAAAUGUUUGUAGAGGAAAUGUCCAUAAUAAAACAGAUUGCUGAGGCAUCCUUAAAAUUCUUACCUGCUUUUUUGUCUCCCUGGGAUUUUCGCCCAUACUGAGGAAAAAUGGAAAUGGGUUAAGCCAAAUUUACUAUCCAAUGUUACCAAACAUUAACAUUUUUUUGGUUAUAUAGUGCAUUAUAUGCAAUAUUAUGAACUUACAGUUUUAUCUGCUGUUUCAUGUUUAGUGACUUUGAGUUUGAUCACAAGCAAUUUCAUAUUUGCAUCA
Long non-coding RNA from Cicer arietinum (chickpea), 398 nucleotides. RefSeq lists it as uncharacterized. The record is from RefSeq and is a predicted model, not a curated record. NCBI's taxonomy places the organism in Eukaryota, Viridiplantae, Streptophyta, Magnoliopsida, Fabales, Fabaceae.